This 130-nucleotide ribosomal RNA is filed under the name Oscillospiraceae bacterium. RNAcentral's name for it is "partial 23S ribosomal RNA". It matches the Rfam family "Bacterial large subunit ribosomal RNA", at positions 2799 to 2925 of the family's 2925-position model. The record is from RNAcentral. Lineage: Bacteria; Bacillati; Bacillota; Clostridia; Eubacteriales; Oscillospiraceae.
UUAAGAUAAGAUUUCCCUUAGCGCAAGCUAGUAAGGCCACACGUAGACUAUGUGAUUGAUAGGUCGGAGGUGUAAGUGCAGUAAUGUAUUAAGCUGACCGAUACUAAUAGGCCGAGGGCUUGACCAAAAA